AGAGGAGGGCGUGGUCCCCAGCUAGGGCUUCAUCCCUGGGCCUGGGCCCACCUAGGUGAAGACAGGCAUUUUUGUUUUCCUGCCCGAAUGUCGCAUUUCCCAAGACCACCCUGGCCUGCCAUGCCCUCAUCCUGUGCCUUUAAAAAGCCCCGAGACCCUGGCAGGCAGACGCACAAGCAGCUGGACAUUGAGAGGAGCAUAUAGGCAGAGAAUACAGGGGCUGCUGGCUGUCGAAAGGAACGCACCAGCAUAGGAGCACACCGGCAUGCUGGCAGGCCAUUGACCAGCGGAAGAAUGCAGAGUUUGUCGCGGGAGGUCAGAGAAGAGUCAGGCCGCCAUACCUGACUCCAGGAGAAAACCAUCUCCCUUCUGGUUCCCCCGUCUGCCGAGAGCUACUUCCACUCAAUAAAACUUUCCACUCAUUCUUCAAGCCCACGUGUGAUCCAAUUCUUCCCGUACACCAAGGUCUCGCUGUGUUUCCCAGGCUGGGUGCAGUGGCUAUUCAAAGGUACAAUGAUAGCUCACUGCAGCCUGGAACUCCUGGACUUAAGCGAUCCUCCUGCCUCAGCUGCGACUAACAGUGCUGGUAACGAUGUAUACCUGGCAGCUGACUGUCAAAUCUUAUGAAGGAUUAAAACAUAAAGUUUGCAUUAAAGGUCAAAACAGUCACAAGCCUGCUCAAAUUCGAAAAGAGGGGACGGAAAUGGAACCUCUUCAUGGGAGGAAGAAACAGGGUCUUGCUCUGUUGCCCUGGCUGGAGUGCAAUGGUAUGAUCAUAGCUCACUGUAGCCUUGAACUCCUGGGCCCAAGCCAUCCUCCUACCUCAGCAACCAGAGUAGCUGGGAUUACAGGUGAAUGCCACCACACCUGGAAUUGGAAAAAUGAAUGUAAUUUGACAUAUGUCUUGAGUCUGGUUGGCUUCUGAGAAACUUGUGUGCAUAUCAUCAGUAUGCAUCUUAAGAACUGAUAUGACCCUACUUCAGCAUUGUGAGAAGACAUGCAUUCUCUUCUUAUAAAUAAUGUGGAUCUUACAUGUAAAGUAUUAUAAAGAUUAGCUGUUUAACAACUUAAAUAAGCUUGUAAAUAAUAAAUUAAUAACAAUGUUAUGCUAAUACGUAACUAUGAUAUUUGCUGAACAAAAUAAAUUUGCCUACUUUGGAAGCAGAUUGGGUGGUUUAAUAUAUCAGCAAAAGAGUGUUUUUUAAAAAUAUCAAAGUUCUGUGAAUCAAAACAUUUAUUUUAGGACAGUUAGUAAUGUUUUGUUUGCCAACUUAUAUUACAGUCUCUGUCUUAAGUGUUUCCUUGCAAAUAAAAUGACAAUACUGCCUUACAUUUUAUUACUUUAGAGUUUGCAAAAUAUCUUCAUUAUAAUAUUUCAUUUAGUAGACAUGCCUAUGGGAACAUUACUUCCAGAAUUAAAAACAUUAUUUUUGUUUUGGUAUAUUUUUAAACUACAAAUGAUAGAAAGGCAAGUAAAUGUAAGUUUUUCUCUAGUUAUUUGUUCAAAUGCUAAUUUAAAACAUUUGUACAUUUCUAAUACAAACAUUCCUUAUUUGAGAAAAAAUGGAUUUCUUAAAAACAAAAUGCAUUUUAAAGCAGAGAGACAGGGCAUUGAGCUGAAAAUGGUGGCUGGAAGUUGGGAUCUGUAAGAGAAGUUGAAUGUGCCCCGAGGCAUAAAGCUGCUAAUUUUGUUUUAUUGGAUUUUACUGUAGCUAUUAAUAUAUUUUGCUGGAGAUUUAUGUGAUCAAUUUAUCUUAUGGCCAGAACUAAUUCCCUUAGUAUAUUUUAUUAGAAUAUGUGACUUUUUCUAAAUUUAGCUUUAUUUUUCAUAUUUUCCAUAAAUGGCAAAGAUUCUAUGUUUCCAGACAUGUUAAGUAUUGCAAGAAUUAUUUGAGCACCUAAAGAUAAAUAAUAUCAAAAUAGUGUCAUUGUUUCCCUUAGUUUCUCCUUCUCCCCCGCAAAUAAACCAAGAGGUAUUUAGUUAUACUAUUGCAUGUCUCUAGCUUUAUCAGAUUCUUCCAUGAAAGACAAAUGGAUUACAUUUUUGGUUGUGUGGCCCUCGUUGCCCUAUUGCACUUUUGAUAAUAUUUGCCUGUGACAAGUAGUUAUUUUUCAUUACCACAUUCAAUCAUGGGUAAUAAAAUAUUUUAAUAAUGGUG
This 2159-nucleotide non-coding RNA is filed under the name Pan troglodytes (chimpanzee). The record is from RNAcentral. Lineage: Eukaryota; Metazoa; Chordata; Mammalia; Primates; Hominidae.